UUUAGGUAGGAUCAUAAGUUUCCGCGUCCAACUUUGAUCGUCCGUUUUAUUUAAUUUUUUUUAUAAUUAGUAUUUUUAUUAUUAUGAGAUGAUAAAACAUGAAUAUUACUUAACUUAUGUUUUUAAUUUUUUUUAAAAAAAAUUAAAUAAGACGGAUGGUUCAAAAUUGUGCACGAAAAAUCAUGGCUGCACUUAAA
MicroRNA precursor from Oryza sativa Indica Group (long-grained rice), 197 nucleotides. It matches the Rfam family "MIR812 microRNA precursor family". Lineage: Eukaryota; Viridiplantae; Streptophyta; Magnoliopsida; Poales; Poaceae. The record is from Rfam.